GGGUCAGUAGGUUGGUCGUGCCACCGGUACGUACUGGUCUCACUGAUUCCUCCUUCCUGAAGAACCGUAAUGCCAUUAAUUUGGUGUUGCGGGGAAACAGGACUGUUACUUUGAAAAAAUUAGAGUGUUUAAAGCAAGCUAACGCUUGAAUACGUUAACAUGGAAUAAUGAAAUAGGACGAUCGAUCCUAUUUUGUUGGUUUCUAGGAUUGACGUA
This 216-nucleotide ribosomal RNA is filed under the name Glomeromycotina sp. Its description in RNAcentral is "partial small subunit ribosomal RNA". The stretch from base 40 to 216 matches the Rfam family "Eukaryotic small subunit ribosomal RNA", at positions 686 to 864 of the family's 1831-position model. Lineage: Eukaryota; Fungi; Glomeromycota. The record is from RNAcentral.